This 450-nucleotide ribosomal RNA is filed under the name uncultured bacterium. Its description in RNAcentral is "bacterial SSU rRNA". It matches the Rfam family "Bacterial small subunit ribosomal RNA", at positions 29 to 524 of the family's 1533-position model. The record is from RNAcentral.
AACGAACGCUGGCGGCAGGCUUAACACAUGCAAGUCGAGCGCCCCGCAAGGGAGGCGGCAGACGGGUGAGUAACGCGUGGGAAUCUACCCAGCUCUACGGAAUAACUCAGGGAAACUUGUGCUAAUACCGUAUACGUCCGAUAGGAGAAAGAUUUAUCGGAGUUGGAUGAGCCCGCGUUGGAUUAGCUAGUUGGGUGGGGUAAUGGCCUACCAAGGCGACGAUCCAUAGCUGGUCUGAGAGGAUGAUCAGCCACACUGGGACUGAGACACGGCCCAGACUCCUACGGGAGGCAGCAGUGGGGAAUAUUGGACAAUGGGCGAAAGCCUGAUCCAGCCAUGCCGCGUGAGUGAUGAAGGCCCCUAGGGCUGUAAAGCUCUUUCAACGGUGAAGAUAAUGACGGUAACCGUAGAAGAAGCCCCGGCUAACUUCGUGCCAGCAGCCGCGGUAAU